Molecule: non-coding RNA, 653 nt
Organism: Camellia sinensis
Lineage: Eukaryota; Viridiplantae; Streptophyta; Magnoliopsida; Ericales; Theaceae
Source: RefSeq, a predicted model, not a curated record
CACGUCUCAUCUCCUUCUAUCUUUAUCUCUUCUCUUCUUUGUUCUCACCCAUCCCUCUUUUAUCUCUCUGCUCUCCAGCCCUGUUCUUCUUCUUCUUCUGCUCUCCAGGUCAGAUCACUUUUCAAUUGUUCUUGCAAUUGUUCUUUAUCUUUUUUGAUAUUUUCAGAUGGAGAAACCUCUGGACCUUCACAACGAAUUUGGAUUUCGGUUCUGUAGAUCAAGUUCGUGAUCUUGAGACCCGAUUGGGACCCUGGGUCGACUUCGCGAUCGCAAGUAAACAACUCGAUACGCUACGGUACAGAAGAGUUUGAUCGCAAUCCAAAUCAACUUUCACUUUCUUUUGGAUCGCCAUCUUCAUUGAUCUUCCAUAUAUGAGAUUUGAUCAGCAAAAAGAAGAGUUUGAUCGCAAUCCGAAUCAACUUUCACUUUCUUCGAUUGGGACCCAACAAAUUCCAUAAUUGCUCCAAUCUUGAAGCGAUUUUGCUCGCUGGGUCGACUUCGCGAUCGCAAGGCGUCUUCUUCUUCUGUAUUUUCUGAUCGCAAGGUAAAAUUCUCUUUUUGGGGUUUUCUGAACCAAGCUUUGAUGGGUCAGAGGAUUCGAAAUGGAGGUUUCUCUGGGCUGAUUCAUAUGGAUUUGGAGGUCUGAAUCUGGG